This 31-nucleotide non-coding RNA is filed under the name Rattus norvegicus (Norway rat). Lineage: Eukaryota; Metazoa; Chordata; Mammalia; Rodentia; Muridae. The record is from RNAcentral.
UUCCAGUGAGAAUUGAUCAGGACAUGGCCUU